GUAACGCCGCAGGCCGGCUUCUCCCCGCCUGGCCCGAGCCCCUCUCCCGCCUGGGCCGUCGGAGCGAGCCCGCCCCGCCCCCGGAGUCCUGACGACCGCGCGCCGCGACGUGCCCCGCCUCUACCGUCCUCCCGGGGCGGGGCCUGUGGUCCGCGCGGCCCGCGCGCUCGGUUCCGGCCGCCCGGGGAGCACCGCAGGGCGUCGGGAGAGCGACGGGAGUGAGCGUGCGUGGAAGUUGGUCCCGAGGAGGAGGAAGCUUUCGGAGCCCCGGUGCCGCCCCGAUGCGACCUGAACGCGCUUCCGAGGCACGGCUGAGUGGGCCCGCGGGGCUGGAGGCGGAGCGGCGUGGGGCCCCGUCCGCCGUCCUGGUCCGGGGUGCUGCGGCGGCGGCCUCGUGCGCGCGGUGAGCGGCUGCCCACGGGGAGGGGGCGAGCGCGCCCAGCUUUCUCAGUAUUCGUCCGUUUUCUCUUCCUCGUGCUUCUGUCUUUUGCCGUUUUCGUUUGUCUUUAGAACAGCAUGAAACAGCCACAUUGUAAAGCUAACGGAUUUCCUUUACAAAUAAUAAAAGCAUUCAGAGUUUGCCUGAACCAGCCAGAAGGACCCAGAGGGGAGAGGAAUAGUUCUUCCUCCCUACGUGGCUAAGUUCAAAACAGUUGUUUUGUUGAUAAUCGACCUUCAGAGAAUAAACAGCUUGUUUAAUGCUAAUUUGCUUUCUGCCUUCCGGGCCUGACCCAUGGAGUAUCUCAGCCUUUGGUGUUCGCCUGAUCCAUGGAGUAUCUCAGCCUUUCGUGUUCGCCUGAUCCAUGGAGUAUCUCAGCCUUUCGUGUUCGCCUGAUCCAUGGAGUAUCUCAGCCUUUCGUGUUCGCCUGAUCCAUGGAGUAUCUCAGCCUUUCGUGUUCGCCUGUGUCUUCCAAUGUCACCCAUGAGCUAAAUCCAAGAAGUGUGCAAAGCUUAGGAUGUCUUCCUGGCAGCCGAGCGUCUCUUUGUGACUUGCUUGGCAGAGUUGGACAAAGUGCCAACAAGUACUGAUUACAGUUAUAAACUCUAGGAUGACCAAUAGUCCAGAUUUUCUGGGAACUGUCCUUGUUUUAGUACUGAAAAUCCUGCUUCCUGAGAAACCCCUCAGGCCAGAGCAAACUUGACAUGGUUGGUCACCCUAACAACUGCCAAGUCAACCUCUGUUAAAGAAAAAAUUAUUCUG
RNAcentral lists this long non-coding RNA (1201 nucleotides) under Equus asinus (donkey). Its description in RNAcentral is "lncRNA (ENSEASG00005030392.1)". The record is from RNAcentral. Lineage: Eukaryota; Metazoa; Chordata; Mammalia; Perissodactyla; Equidae.